This 253-nucleotide ribosomal RNA is filed under the name uncultured bacterium. RNAcentral's name for it is "partial 16S ribosomal RNA". It matches the Rfam family "Bacterial small subunit ribosomal RNA", at positions 524 to 776 of the family's 1533-position model. The record is from RNAcentral.
UACGUAGGGUGCAAGCGUUGUCCGGAAUUAUUGGGCGUAAAGAGCUCGUAGGCGGCUUGUCGCGUCGGCUGUGAAAACCUGGGGCUCAACCCCGGGCCUGCAGCCGAUACGGGCAAGCUAGAAUUCGGUAGGGGAGACUGGAAUUCCUGGUGUAGCGGUGAAAUGCGCAGAUAUCAGGAAGAACACCCGUGGCGAAGGCGGCUCUCUGGGACGGUACUGACGCUGGGACGCGAAAGCGUGGGGAGCGAACAGG